UACGUAGGGGGCAAGCGUUGUCCGGAAUUAUUGGGCGUAAAGAGCGUGUAGGCGGUCCGGUAAGUCAGCUGUGAAAGUCAAGGGCUCAACCCUUGAAUGCCGGUUGAUACUGUCGGGCUAGAGUCCGGAAGAGGCGAGUGGAAUUCCCGGUGUAGCGGUGAAAUGCGCAGAUAUCGGGAGGAACACCGGUGGCGAAGGCGGCAUCCUGGACCAACACUGACACUGAGGAGCGAAAGCCAGGGGAGCAAACGGG
RNAcentral lists this ribosomal RNA (253 nucleotides) under uncultured bacterium. RNAcentral's name for it is "partial 16S ribosomal RNA". It matches the Rfam family "Bacterial small subunit ribosomal RNA", at positions 524 to 776 of the family's 1533-position model. The record is from RNAcentral.